RNAcentral lists this ribosomal RNA (1446 nucleotides) under uncultured bacterium. Its description in RNAcentral is "bacterial SSU rRNA". It matches the Rfam family "Bacterial small subunit ribosomal RNA". The record is from RNAcentral.
AGAGUUUGAUCCUGGCUCAGGAUGAACGCUGGCGGCGUGCUUAACACAUGCAAGUCGAACGAACCUUCGGGUUAGUGGCGGACGGGUGAGUAACGCGUGGGAAUCUGCCCUCAGGAGGGGGAUAACGGUUGGAAACGGCCGCUAAUACCCCAUAUGCCGAGAGGUGAAAUGAAUUUCGCCUGAGGAUGAGUCCGCGUCUGAUUAGCUAGUUGGUGAGGUAAUGGCUCACCAAGGCAUCGAUCAGUAGCUGGUCUGAGAGGAUGAUCAGCCACACUGGGACUGAGACACGGCCCAGACUCCUACGGGAGGCAGCAGUGGGGAAUUUUCCGCAAUGGGCGCAAGCCUGACGGAGCAACGCCGCGUGAGGGAUGAAGGCCUCUGGGCUGUAAACCUCUUUUCUCAAGGAAGAAGAUCUGACGGUACUUGAGGAAUAAGCCACGGCUAAUUCCGUGCCAGCAGCCGCGGUAAUACGGGAGUGGCAAGCGUUAUCCGGAAUUAUUGGGCGUAAAGCGUCCGCAGGCGGCUUUUCAAGUCUGCUGUUAAAGCGUGGAGCUUAACUCCAUCAAGGCAGUGGAAACUGAUUGGCUUGAGUGUGGUAGGGGCAGAGGGAAUUCCCGGUGUAGCGGUGAAAUGCGUAGAUAUCGGGAAGAACACCAGUGGCGAAGGCGCUCUGCUGGGCCAUAACUGACGCUCAUGGACGAAAGCCAGGGGAGCGAAAGGGAUUAGAUACCCCUGUAGUCCUGGCCGUAAACGAUGAACACUAGGUGUCGGGGGAAUCGACCCCCUCGGUGUCGUAGCCAACGCGUUAAGUGUUCCGCCUGGGGAGUACGCACGCAAGUGUGAAACUCAAAGGAAUUGACGGGGGCCCGCACAAGCGGUGGAGUAUGUGGUUUAAUUCGAUGCAACGCGAAGAACCUUACCAGGGUUUGACAUCCUGCGAACCUCUAAGAAAUUAGAGGGUGCCUUUGGGAACGCAGUGACAGGUGGUGCAUGGCUGUCGUCAGCUCGUGUCGUGAGAUGUUGGGUUAAGUCCCGCAACGAGCGCAACCCACGUUUUUAGUUGCCAGCAUUCAGUUGGGCACUCUAGAGAGACCGCCGGUGAUAAACCGGAGGAAGGUGUGGAUGACGUCAAGUCAUCAUGCCCCUUACAUCCUGGGCUACACACGUACUACAAUGCUACGGACAAAGGGCAGCGAACUCGCGAGGGCAAGCAAAUCCCAUAAACCGUGGCUCAGUUCAGAUCGUAGGCUGCAACUCGCCUACGUGAAGAAGGAAUCGCUAGUAAUCGCAGGUCAGCAUACUGCGGUGAAUACGUUCCCGGGCCUUGUACACACCGCCCGUCACACCAUGGAAGUUGGCCACGCCCGAAGUCGUUACUCCAACCCUUGUGGAGGAGGACGCCGAAGGUGGGGCUGAUGACUGGGGUGAAGUCGUAACAAGGUAACC